This is a long non-coding RNA of Phasianus colchicus (ring-necked pheasant), 1790 nucleotides long. RefSeq lists it as uncharacterized. Lineage: Eukaryota; Metazoa; Chordata; Aves; Galliformes; Phasianidae. The record is from RefSeq and is a predicted model, not a curated record.
UGGGUCAGAGCGUCCCACUCUCACCACCCCCUACCCCCCCCCAUUGCCCACCACUAACGGGAGUUUCAGUUUGCUUUCAGGGGAUCCGCACAGAUGUGUCCCGGGUUCGGAUGAGCUUUAAUUCGGGGACCCCUUAUCAACCCCAGCGUCUGCUGGGUGGUUCUAUGAGCCCUUUUGGGCCCACCGAUCCCAUAGCUCCCGCGCCACCCCCAGCUGUCCGCCUCGCCCCAAGGCAGCGCAGGAUCAGCCCUCGCUGCUCUUCAUUUACUUCUGUAGGGAGCUCUGUGCGCUCACACACACAAACGAAGGGAAAGCCAUCUCUCCCGCUCUCCCGUGGCUCUGCCUUUGUCCUGCUGCAGUGAACCUGCGAGUCAAUCCCUUUUGCUGCCGUGUCUGUUGCUAGGAGUACCGGAUCCUGUCCCUCUCUGGGCCCAAGCUUCAUCUGCUCCUCUCUUCCCGCUGAUGACUUUGGCGUGUUGGACUGGUGGACCUUGCAGUGAAUAACCACCAAACUCUUGGUUUGAUAAUUGCAUCAAGUAAUCCCAUAAUUUCUGCACUGUACUGUGUAGGAUUGCCUUGAGAUGAUAGUAACCUACUUUCUUCCCAUAUAGCUUCACACACACAACAGUGCCAGCAUCUGUAACGUCACACCAUUAAAGUAGCCACAUUUUGUCCUUAUCAUAAGUUGUUUGAGCUCUAAUUUGUUCAACAAAUCCCAUCCCAUGAGAGGUGAAGGGCAUUCUGGCAUAUGCAAAAACUCACCAGUUAAAAUCUAACUUCCACUUUCACAUCUAUUUGGUUGCAAAAAGGUUUAACCUCUUGCUUUCCCGUGGCCCCAGCUACCAGCGCAGAAUACUUCAGCACUUCCUUCAACACUUUACAACAGGAGAAGUAGCUCUGGUAUCUGCUAAGAAGACAAUAACUGAAUUCCCUGAGACCUCUAAAUGUUCCUCUUGUUCCUCAGCUUGUGGCUUGCAUUAUAGCAGCCUGGCUGCAUUCUGCUGCUGCUGGGUUUCUCUUUUCGUUCCUUUCCUACUUCCCCAUUGUUAUUUAUCCCAUAGAUCAUUUCACUCAAUCGUGAAGCAGACAUCCCCAAAAUCCCAUCAUCUUUCUGCAGUGUCUCCCAGAUUUCGGGGCUGACUGCCCAAUGAACAAUGCAUCCAACAACACAGUUUUAUUCCCUUCCCCUUCCAGGUGGAGCUCAGCCCAUAACGUGAUCAGCUCCUUGGCUGGGCCCUGUGUCACCUGCUGUGAUUUGGAGCAAUUCGGGUCCCCCUUGUUGUACCCCUUAUAUUAUUAAGUAUUGAUGCUGUUUCAUCAUUAGCCCCCAAGCUCCUUUCCACCAACUUACCUUUCCAUUUGAUAUCGUCACCCUUUUGUAACACAAAGAAAUCAACAUGCUGAAUUUCAUCCCACUCAGCUACACAACAACAGUGUGACAUGAAUUACAGAAUUGCAUUAUAAUUCCAAGUUCCCAUUUCAGUCCCCGUCACCCACUUCAUCCACUGCCCAGCACUGCAGACAAUAGCACCCACCUUCAAGGACAACUUUAGUCGUGUUGUGAUUAAGACUUCCUCUACUUAAUCACGUUGGCAGUUUUGAGGGUGGUUGUCCUGACCUGCAUAGAAGCACAAAUUGCUGUGUGUGAGGGUACACCUAUGAAGAGUUCUUGGCUGACAAUGCCAUAGGUUCCCCCCCUCAGCCUCCUCUUGGUCUUAACUUUAUUAAAAAAAGGCUUUCUUGUCUUGUUUCUACCACAGCAGUGGUUAAAACAAGUCAGCCAAUUAAUU